UUUGAAGUAAAGUAAGCAGUAUGAGGGAUAGAAACUCGACCUUCUAAGAACUCUCAUAUAAUAGAAAGUUGUGACUACAUCUUGUUCUAUGCUCAAUGAAUGUGAUACAAGUGAUGUAUGAAUGGACAGGUUAGUGACAUUGUGUUAUGGUUUUAAAACAAACCAUAAACAGAGGGAAUGUAGAAUAUUGCAUAUUCUAUGUUUCUAUUGAUUAUAUAUGGAUGUGUGGAUUGACAUAAGUAACAGAUGGUAUCAAUAAGUCACAAGGCUUUCUUUGUCCGAGAGCUCUGGAAUGUGG
This is a non-coding RNA of Pelobates cultripes (western spadefoot toad), 298 nucleotides long. NCBI's taxonomy places the organism in Eukaryota, Metazoa, Chordata, Amphibia, Anura, Pelobatidae. The record is from the annotation of a GenBank genome assembly.